RNAcentral lists this ribosomal RNA (504 nucleotides) under uncultured bacterium. Its description in RNAcentral is "bacterial SSU rRNA". It matches the Rfam family "Bacterial small subunit ribosomal RNA", at positions 46 to 507 of the family's 1533-position model. The record is from RNAcentral.
GACCUAAGACAUGCAAGUCGAACGAGGAGGCCCAAUGAAGAUGGAGUGCUUGCACAAAGUUGGAUUUGGAUUCCCUCCUAGUGGCAGACGGGUGAGUAACACGUGGGUGACCUACCUUUAAGCUGGGGAUAACAAUUGGAAACGAUUGCUAAUACCGAAUAAGAUAUAAGAGUCAAUCUUAUAUUGAAAGGAGCCUUUAAAGCUUCACUUAAAGAUGGGCCUGCGGCGUAUUAACUAGUUGGUGAGGUAAUGGCUCACCAAGGUAACGAUGCGUAGCCGAACUGAGAGGUUGAUCGGCCACACUGGGACUGAGACACGGCCCAGACUCCUACGGGAGACAGCAGUUAGGAAUAUUCGUCAAUGGGGGAAACCCUAAACGAGCAAUGCCGCGUGAGUGAAGAUGGUCUUUGGAUUGUAAAACUCUGUUGUAUGGAAAGAAUAGUUAUGUUAGGAAAUGAACAUAAUGUGACGGUACCAUACCAGAAAGCCCCGGCUAACUACGUG